AUAUUGCGAUGAACCGAGAGAUUGCUCAGGUUUCUGAGGUAACUUUCGGGGAGUAUGUCCGAACAUCGGGCGG
Non-coding RNA from Firmicutes bacterium CAG:129_59_24, 73 nucleotides. Lineage: Bacteria; Bacillati; Bacillota. The record is from Rfam.